Molecule: ribosomal RNA, 254 nt
Filed under: uncultured bacterium
Lineage: Bacteria
Description: partial 16S ribosomal RNA
Rfam family: Bacterial small subunit ribosomal RNA
Source: RNAcentral
UACAGGGGGUGCAAACGUUGCUCGGAAUCAUUGGGCGUAAAGCGCACGUAGGCGGUCUGUUAUGUCGGAUGUGAAAGCCCCUCGGCUCAACUGAGGAAGUGCAUCCGAAACUGGCAGGCUGGAGUACCAAAGAGGGUCGCGGAAUUCCCAGUGUAGAGGUGAAAUUCGUAGAUAUUCGGAAGAACACCAGUGGCGAAGGCGACUCACUGGACACGUAUUGACGCUGAGGUGCGAAAGCGUGGGGAGCAAACAGG